GUUAAGCGACUAAGCGUACACGGUGGAUGCCCUGGCAGUCAGAGGCGAUGAAGGACGUGCUAAUCUGCGAUAAGCGUCGGUAAGGUGAUAUGAACCGUUAUAACCGGCGAUUUCCGAAUGGGGAAACCCAGUGUGUUUCGACACACUAUCAUUAACUGAAUCCAUAGGUUAAUGAGGCGAACCGGGGGAACUGAAACAUCUAAGUACCCCGAGGAAAAGAAAUCAACCGAGAUUCCCCCAGUAGCGGCGAGCGAACGGGGAGCAGCCCAGAGCCUGAAUCAGUAUGUGUGUUAGUGGAAGCGUCUGGAAAGGCGCGCGAUACAGGGUGACAGCCCCGUACACAAAAAUGCACAUGCUGUGAGCUCGAUGAGUAGGGCGGGACACGUGGUAUCCUGUCUGAAUAUGGGGGGACCAUCCUCCAAGGCUAAAUACUCCUGACUGACCGAUAGUGAACCAGUACCGUGAGGGAAAGGCGAAAAGAACCCCGGCGAGGGGAGUGAAAAAGAACCUGAAACCGUGUACGUACAAGCAGUGGGAGCACAGAGCAAUCUGUGUGACUGCGUACCUUUUGUAUAAUGGGUCAGCGACUUAUAUUCUGUAGCAAGGUUAACCGAAUAGGGGAGCCGAAGGGAAACCGAGUCUUAACUGGGCGUUAAGUUGCAGGGUAUAGACCCGAAACCCGGUGAUCUAGCCAUGGGCAGGUUGAAGGUUGGGUAACACUAACUGGAGGACCGAACCGACUAAUGUUGAAAAAUUAGCGGAUGACUUGUGGCUGGGGGUGAAAGGCCAAUCAAACCGGGAGAUAGCUGGUUCUCCCCGAAAGCUAUUUAGGUAGCGCCUCGUGAAUUCAUCUCCGGGGGUAGAGCACUGUUUCGGCAAGGGGGUCAUCCCGACUUACCAACCCGAUGCAAACUGCGAAUACCGGAGAAUGUUAUCACGGGAGACACACGGCGGGUGCUAACGUCCGUCGUGAAGAGGGAAACAACCCAGACCGCCAGCUAAGGUCCCAAAGUCAUGGUUAAGUGGGAAACGAUGUGGGAAGGCCCAGACAGCCAGGAUGUUGGCUUAGAAGCAGCCAUCAUUUAAAGAAAGCGUAAUAGCUCACUGGUCGAGUCGGCCUGCGCGGAAGAUGUAACGGGGCUAAACCAUGCACCGAAGCUGCGGCAGCGACGCUGAUGCGUUGUUGGGUAGGGGAGCGUUCUGUAAGCCUGCGAAGGUGUGCUGUGAGGCAUGCUGGAGGUAUCAGAAGUGCGAAUGCUGACAUAAGUAACGAUAAAGCGGGUGAAAAGCCCGCUCGCCGGAAGACCAAGGGUUCCUGUCCAACGUUAAUCGGGGCAGGGUGAGUCGACCCCUAAGGCGAGGCCGAAAGGCGUAGUCGAUGGGAAACAGGUUAAUAUUCCUGUACUUGGUGUUACUGCGAAGGGGGGACGGAGAAGGCUAUGUUGGCCGGGCGACGGUUGUCCCGGUUUAAGCGUGUAGGCUGGU
This 1485-nucleotide ribosomal RNA is filed under the name Escherichia coli. Its description in RNAcentral is "partial 23S ribosomal RNA". It matches the Rfam family "Bacterial large subunit ribosomal RNA", at positions 1 to 1529 of the family's 2925-position model. Lineage: Bacteria; Pseudomonadati; Pseudomonadota; Gammaproteobacteria; Enterobacterales; Enterobacteriaceae. The record is from RNAcentral.